This 67-nucleotide ribosomal RNA is filed under the name Pyrola rotundifolia. RNAcentral's name for it is "16S ribosomal RNA". The record is from RNAcentral. Lineage: Eukaryota; Viridiplantae; Streptophyta; Magnoliopsida; Ericales; Ericaceae.
UCUCAUGGAGAGUUCGAUCCUGGCUCAGGAUGAACGCUGGCGGCAUGCUUCACACAUGCAAGGUGGA